GGAUUGUAGCUCAGUGGUACAGCGCCUGCCUCACACAUGUGAGGCAUUGGGUUCGAUCCUCAGCACCA
RNAcentral lists this transfer RNA (68 nucleotides) under Marmota monax (woodchuck). RNAcentral describes it as "tRNA.Val". Lineage: Eukaryota; Metazoa; Chordata; Mammalia; Rodentia; Sciuridae. The record is from RNAcentral.